RNAcentral lists this ribosomal RNA (460 nucleotides) under uncultured bacterium. RNAcentral's name for it is "partial 16S ribosomal RNA". It matches the Rfam family "Bacterial small subunit ribosomal RNA", at positions 338 to 795 of the family's 1533-position model. The record is from RNAcentral.
CCUACGGGGGGCUGCAGUGAGGAAUAUUGGUCAAUGGACGAGAGUCUGAACCAGCCAAGUAGCGUGAAGGAUGACUGCCCUAUGGGUUGUAAACUUCUUUUAUAUGGGAAUAAAAUGUUCCACGUGUGGGAUUUUGUAUGUACCAUAUGAAUAAGGAUCGGCUAACUCCGUGCCAGCAGCCGCGGUAAUACGGAGGAUCCGAGCGUUAUCCGGAUUUAUUGGGUUUAAAGGGAGCGUAGGUGGAUUGUUAAGUCAGUUGUGAAAGUUUGCGGCUCAACCGUAAAAUUGCAGUUGAAACUGGCAGGCUUGAGUAUAGUAGAGGUGGGCGGAAUGCGUGGUGUAGCGGUGAAAUGCUUAGAUAUCACGAAGAACGCCGAUUGCGAAGGCAGCUCACUGGACUGCAACUGACACUGAGGCUCGAAAGUGUGGGUAUCAAACAGGAUUAGAUACCCAAGUAGUC